UGGGCGGAAGCGCUGAACUGAAACUGAGCAACUCCAUGAGAGUCGCUGGGGCCCGGAUGCUGCAACGAGCACAGCGUAGGGCUCAAAGCCAAGACCAGUGAGCGAGAAGAAAAAUGAAGAAACCAAAACUAUUCUUGAAAGCUGGGACCACGCGGAACCAUAGUCUGGAGCACCACGUGCUGUCUAUUCCUAGCGGGAGGCAAACAGCAAGAGAAGUUUGAAAACAUAGCCUACAGCAUUAGGACCAUUGCUCACAGAGGCCCAAGACUGCCCCUACUGCCC
Molecule: long non-coding RNA, 282 nt
Filed under: Fukomys damarensis (Damara mole-rat)
Lineage: Eukaryota; Metazoa; Chordata; Mammalia; Rodentia; Bathyergidae
Description: lncRNA (ENSFDAG00000026021.1)
Source: RNAcentral